Long non-coding RNA from Uranotaenia lowii, 523 nucleotides. RefSeq lists it as uncharacterized. The record is from RefSeq and is a predicted model, not a curated record. NCBI's taxonomy places the organism in Eukaryota, Metazoa, Arthropoda, Insecta, Diptera, Culicidae. The transcript has 3 exons.
CUUCCAAACCAGACUCGCACGAUUCGAAAACAAACGUAAGUUUUUCAAAGUUUAGUUUUGUUUUUUGUGAUAUGUGUGCCUUACUUUUUCUUUUAAAUUCUAAUUGAGAAAAAAAACUCCAAGUGGUGAAUCAACGAGUUCUUUUGAGAAACAUCCGACAAUGAAGUGCUGCGGAAUCUUCAACAAGAGAAAAUGAAGGCCAAAUUGAACUAGUGAAAAAAUUCUUGAUGGGAGAAAACAAUCGCAAUUCUUCAAAAUGUAUAAGGACCAAAAAUUUAAGAACGCAUUAUUUUCGGUUGCUCUUAGCGGAAACACAAAUUCACGAAGAGAUUGAUGAUUUAAGUGCUUCCGGUAGCAAGAAACUACCUUCGGUGCCAACUAGUGACGACCUUACUCUAGGUUCUGGGGGAGCCUCUCUGUUUCUACUGUGUCAGCUUUUUGUCCAAGUUGCUGUAUGUGUCGUUGCGGUUGAUGUGAGAGUUGCUUUCAUCGAGAAGGAAAAUAAGAAGAGUCGGAAUCGUUG